Molecule: ribosomal RNA, 253 nt
Filed under: uncultured bacterium
Lineage: Bacteria
Description: partial 16S ribosomal RNA
Rfam family: Bacterial small subunit ribosomal RNA
Source: RNAcentral
UACGAAGGGGGCUAGCGUUGCUCGGAAUUACUGGGCGUAAAGCGCACGUAGGCGGCUUCUUAAGUCGGUGGUGAAAUCCUGGAGCUCAACUCCAGAACUGCCUUCGAUACUGGGAAGCUCGAGUCCGGGAGAGGUGAGUGGAACUGCGAGUGUAGAGGUGAAAUUCGUAGAUAUUCGCAAGAACACCAGUGGCGAAGGCGGCUCACUGGCCCGGUACUGACGCUGAGACGCGAAAGCGUGGGGAGCAAACAGG